CUGGGCUUAACGUUUACGCUAAAAGUGAGACGACUAAUUUAGGCCGACAAGGAGAGGGUAAAUCUGCUUAAAUAUCUGUAUUAAUGAAGCCACUCAACCAGUACUAACGUUAUAACUUUUCAAUAAAAACUAAAAGUGUAUCCGUCACUAAGAUAGUGAUCGCUAUGUCAAGUCUUAUUCGUAGCACGAUGGAUACGCCUUGCGUUUUUACAGUCUGAUCUUUAUCUAAGUCACAGCCAAAGACAAUGCACACACAUCAAUUGGACUUUUCCAGUAUUUACUGGAAUACUGAGUAUUGAUUUACAACCACUACUAGGAACUGAGUACUGUAUUCCAAUAAAACAGAUGAGAUGUUUGUAGACAGCCCGGGUGUUCACCAGUUUACAUUAAAAAAAAAAAAGCCUGUAAGUGCGGUGGGGAAAGUCACAUUAUAAGGACAGCAUGAAUACUCAUCUCAAAUCCUUUAAUUUUGAAUGAUGAAAUCUUCAUAAAGUGAGAGAGAUAACCAUAAUAGUCUACUUUGAGCAAGGAGUUGGCAGUAGUAGGAAGGAAGAACGCCCUUUAAAAGGAAGAGCUCUUUUGCAGAACCAGGCUCAGGAAGGCAAUCUUAGAGGCAAACACAACUGGACUUCAUGAGGUUUUUGCAGAUAUUUUGGUUCUUUAGUUCUACAACAACACCUAGUGGGGUCAGUUGCUUUGGAGUUGUUACUGAGAGUCGUUAACCCACUAUUUAUUUAUUUACCGUGUGAUAACAGACAUAGGACAUGCCAGUCGACAGGUGAAACCUCUGUGAGAUGUUACAGAGUAUAGCAUGGUGGAAAAGGAUGGAGAGAAUCGCCCCCUAAGCUUUUGGGUUGGCAUUUCUUUAGAUUUUGUUUUGUAUUAAUUGCAUGCUUUGGUGUUUUUUUGUGUUUGAUGUGAGGUGUGGGCCACACCCAUGUGGGAGUGGAGAUUCUACUCUAGUCCAGCUGCCAGCUAUUUGGAGUUGAAUACAGGGAGCAGCUGAUUGGGGAUGAUUGGAGCCCUUCUCUAUAAAGGGGAGAGGAAACAGAAAGUAGGGGUUGUUGUUGUUUUUUUUUAGUAGGACACUGGUGAAGCAGGAAAACAAACACUGGACUGGAGACUCUCUGUGCCCCUGACAAGGAAACUGGACCAGUUUUGGGGAAGUUCCAGCUCCCAGGAUGUGAUGUGGAGACCCAGCCUCGAACGAAGUCAGGCCUGAAAAGGCUAACAACCCUGACCGCGGUGGCUUUGGGCCUUGGAUUCCUGGCCAGAGUUGUGUCUUCAGCCAGUAGUUUUACCCGGAGAAAGAACAAAUAAAUCUUGUGUAAC
This is a long non-coding RNA of Astatotilapia calliptera (eastern happy), 1332 nucleotides long. The record is from Ensembl. Lineage: Eukaryota; Metazoa; Chordata; Actinopteri; Cichliformes; Cichlidae.